Molecule: transfer RNA, 71 nt
Filed under: Stegodyphus mimosarum
Lineage: Eukaryota; Metazoa; Arthropoda; Arachnida; Araneae; Eresidae
Rfam family: tRNA
About the family: Transfer RNA (tRNA) molecules are approximately 80 nucleotides in length. Their secondary structure includes four short double-helical elements and three loops (D, anti-codon, and T loops). Further hydrogen bonds mediate the characteristic L-shaped molecular structure. tRNAs have two regions of fundamental functional importance: the anti-codon, which is responsible for specific mRNA codon recognition, and the 3' end, to which the tRNAs corresponding amino acid is attached (by aminoacyl-tRNA synthetases). tRNAs cope with the degeneracy of the genetic code in two manners: having more than one tRNA (with a specific anti-codon) for a particular amino acid; and 'wobble' base-pairing, i.e. permitting non-standard base-pairing at the 3rd anti-codon position.
Source: Rfam by way of RNAcentral
GCCUUCGCGGUGUAACGGUAGCAUAUUCGACGCCUAUUCGAGAGGUCCAAGUUCGAAUCCUGGUAAGGGCA